Acanthosepion pharaonis is the source of this 109-nucleotide non-coding RNA. The record is from the annotation of a GenBank genome assembly. Lineage: Eukaryota; Metazoa; Mollusca; Cephalopoda; Sepiida; Sepiidae.
CGGUCACAUCACGUUCAAACACCGCUUCCCGUAAGAUCACCAACGUUAAGCAACGUCGAGCCUAGUCACUACCUAGAUGGGUAACCGCUUGGGAAUCCAGGUGCUGUAA